RNAcentral lists this ribosomal RNA (460 nucleotides) under uncultured bacterium. RNAcentral's name for it is "partial 16S ribosomal RNA". It matches the Rfam family "Bacterial small subunit ribosomal RNA", at positions 338 to 795 of the family's 1533-position model. The record is from RNAcentral.
CCUACGGGAGGCAGCAGUGAGGAAUAUUGGUCAAUGGACGAGAGUCUGAACCAGCCAAGUCGCGUGAAGGAUGACUGCCCUAUGGUUUGUAAACUUCUUUUAUAUGGGAAUAAAAUGUUCCACGUGUGGCAUUUUGUAUGUACCAUAUGAAUAAGCAUCGGCUAACUCCGUGCCAGCAGCCGCGGUAAUACGGAGGAUCCGAGCGUUAUCCGGAUUUAUUGGGUUUAAAGGGUGCGUAGGUGGAUUGUUAAGUCAGUUGUGAAAGUUUGCGGCUCAACCGUAAAAUUGCAGUUGAAACUGGCAGUCUUGAGUAUAGUAGAGGUAGGCGGAAUUCGUGGUGUAGCGGUGAAAUGCUUAGAUAUCACGAAGAACUCCGAUUGCGAAGGCAGCUCACUGGACUACAACUGACACUGAGGCACGAAAGUGUGGGUAUCAAACAGGAUUAGAUACCCCUGUAGUC